This 440-nucleotide ribosomal RNA is filed under the name uncultured bacterium. Its description in RNAcentral is "partial 16S ribosomal RNA". It matches the Rfam family "Bacterial small subunit ribosomal RNA", at positions 338 to 795 of the family's 1533-position model. The record is from RNAcentral.
CCUACGGGAGGCAGCAGUGAGGAAUAUUGGUCAAUGGGCGCAAGCCUGAACCAGCCAAGUCGCGUGAGGGAAGACGUAUUUCGGUAUGUAAAGCUCUAUCAGCAGGGAAGAAAAUGACGGUACCUGAUUAAGAAGCCCCGGCUAACUACGUGCCAGCAGCCGCGGUAAUACGUAGGGGGCAAGCGUUAUCCGGAUUUACUGGGUGUAAAGGGAGCGUAGACGGCAGCACAAGUCUGGAGUGAAAUGCCGGGGCUUAACCCCGGAACUGCUUUGGAAACUGUGCAGCUAGAGUGCAGGAGAGGUAAGUGGAAUUCCUAGUGUAGCGGUGAAAUGCGUAGAUAUUAGGAGGAACACCAGUGGCGAAGGCGGCUUACUGGACUGUAACUGACGUUGAGGCUCGAAAGCGUGGGGAGCAAACAGGAUUAGAUACCCUUGUAGUC